RNAcentral lists this ribosomal RNA (449 nucleotides) under uncultured bacterium. Its description in RNAcentral is "partial 16S ribosomal RNA". It matches the Rfam family "Bacterial small subunit ribosomal RNA", at positions 354 to 796 of the family's 1533-position model. The record is from RNAcentral.
GUGGGGAAUCUUCCGCAAUGGGCGAAAGCCUGACGGAGCAACGCCGCGUGAAUGAAGAAGGCCUUCGGGUCGUAAAGUUCUGUCUUUAGGGACGAAUGGGUAUGCGCAAAUAGUGUAUGCUUUGACGGUACCUUAGGAGGAAGCUCCGGCUAACUACGUGCCAGCAGCCGCGGUAAUACGUAGGGAGCAAGCGUUGUCCGGAAUUACUGGGCGUAAAGGGCGGGUAGGCGGGAAUGCAAGUCAGAUGUGAAAACUCCGGGCUCAACUUGGAGAUUGCAUUUGAAACUGUGUUUCUUGAGGGCAGGAGAGGAAAGUGGAAUUCCUAGUGUAGCGGUGAAAUGCGUAGAUAUUAGGAGGAACACCAGUGGCGAAGGCGACUUUCUGGACUGUACCUGACGCUGAGGCGCGAAAGCGUGGGUAGCAAACGGGAUUAGAAACCCCAGUAGUCC